UUUGCUCUUCAUUUCAACAUGUCUUUUCCUCUUACUCUUUGUGAUUUUCACUUGAUCCUUUUGAGUUUUGAUUCCAAAGUUCUUAAGAGACAGAGAUCCUAUUGGCUGGUGCAAGACCAUAGCAGUUGUGUGUGUGUGUGUGUGUGUGUGAGAGAGAGAGAGAGAGGGAGAGGGAGAGGGAGAGGGAGAGGGAGAGGGAGAGGGAGAGCGCUGAGUCACUGUCUCCCAUUUCUGGCUUUGCUUCUCACAUCCACAACCCAUGUGCUCUACUUCCAUUUUUUCCUCUCAUUCCUGUUCCAAGCACAUCUGAAGAUUUUAUUUUCUCUAGCUUGGCUUUUCCCUUUGGGGAUGGCUCACAAAGCCUCAGAGCUUCUGAACGCACUCUGACGUGAGGGAGCAGCUUGAGUCCUCAAGUAUGUGUCCCGCCUGGAGACGAAGCCCAUUGAAGUCCCUGAGAGCAAACAGCUCUGAAAAGCAAAGCGAUCUGGUAUUUACUCAACUUUACUUCUGUCCGGUGGGUCAGAGAACAGACUCCAGUGUCCAGGAUAAAGCCGGGCCUGGCCGGGUCUUGGCAGCUCAAACCGCCCCAUUGUGAUUCAAGAUUCGGGGUGUAAACACAUGCAGUGUUUAACCACCGCCAGUCCUCUUUGAAUGUUUGAUAGCCGUGACUGGGGCUCAGGAAGAACACAGUAGUGACUUCUUCACUGGAGCUGAGGCUGAGGCUUUAUGUAGUGUUUGGGCAAACGGCACCGGCAGCUGCAAGCCCUCAAUGGGUGCUUUCUAGUUGCUGAGUGGGCUGUGCUGCGUUGCUGGGAGCCGAGGUCCGGAGCUGCCCCUGGGCUGGAUGGGGGGAGGAGGAGGCGGCCAGCCGCAGCCUGGGCCACCCCUUCUCGGUGACAGGUGCUGAGGGACAGGAGAAGGAGCCCCUCCCUACUGGCUCCCAAGCCUGGGCUCAGUGUCUGCCACUGACUGCCAUUUUUAUUGGGUUUUUGUUUCAGGAACACACACAGGACCUUGGCAGGCAGAGAUGUACCCUGUGGCUUGGUCUUUCUCUGCUCAGCUAGUGGUGAUGAAAACAGUAACAAAGACCCUGACUUUGCUAAAUGACCAAGACUCACUCAGAUAACAAGCCAGUACAGUUGCUGGCAGAGAGCCUUCUAGACGCUUGAUGCAGUGUGACCUACUGGAGUGAGAAGGAGAAUUGGAAGGGGAGGGCUCUCAGUUACAUUUUGGUCCAAUUAAAGGAUACUAUUAUCUCCUGAUGUGGACUGAUGAUCCUGUUUAUCAUUAACUAUCAUCUACUGAGAACUUUUAUGUGCCAGGUACUGAACUAGGUAUUGCAUGUUCAUUGUCUUACCAUAAUCCUGCAAUUUCGUUGUUGUUGUUC
RNAcentral lists this long non-coding RNA (1387 nucleotides) under Sus scrofa (pig). RNAcentral's name for it is "lncRNA (ENSSSCG00035032889.1)". Lineage: Eukaryota; Metazoa; Chordata; Mammalia; Artiodactyla; Suidae. The record is from RNAcentral.